Molecule: ribosomal RNA, 3096 nt
Filed under: Pseudomonas savastanoi
Lineage: Bacteria; Pseudomonadati; Pseudomonadota; Gammaproteobacteria; Pseudomonadales; Pseudomonadaceae
Also listed under: 1 other name
Description: 23S ribosomal RNA
Rfam family: Bacterial large subunit ribosomal RNA
Source: RNAcentral
GUUAUAUGGUCAAGUGAAGAAGCGCAUACGGUGGAUGCCUUGGCAGUCAGAGGCGAUGAAAGACGUGGUAGCCUGCGAAAAGCUUCGGGGAGUCGGCAAACAGACUGUGAUCCGGAGAUAUCUGAAUGGGGGAACCCAGCCAUCAUAAGAUGGUUAUCUUGUACUGAAUACAUAGGUGCAAGAGGCGAACCAGGGGAACUGAAACAUCUAAGUACCCUGAGGAAAAGAAAUCAACCGAGAUUCCCUUAGUAGUGGCGAGCGAACGGGGACCAGCCCUUAAGUUGUAUUGAGAUUAGCGGAACGUUCUGGAAAGGACAUAGUAGUGGCGAGCGAACGGGGACCAGCCCUUAAGUUGUAUUGAGAUUAGCGGAACGUUCUGGAAAGGACGGCCAUAGUGGGUGAUAGCCCUGUACGCGAAAAUCCCUUUGCAAUGAAAUCGAGUAGGACGGGGCACGAGAAACCUUGUCUGAAUAUGGGGGGACCAUCCUCCAAGGCUAAAUACUACUGACUGACCGAUAGUGAACCAGUACCGUGAGGGAAAGGCGAAAAGAACCGCGGAGAGCGGAGUGAAAUAGAUCCUGAAACCGUAUGCGUACAAGCAGUGGGAGCCCACUUUGUUGGGUGACUGCGUACCUUUUGUAUAAUGGGUCAGCGACUUAUUUUCAGUGGCGAGCNCUAAUGGGUCAGCGACUUAUUUUCAGUGGCGAGCUUAACCGAAUAGGGGAGGCGUAGCGAAAGCGAGUCUUAAUAGGGCGUCUAGUCGCUGGGAAUAGACCCGAAACCGGGCGAUCUAUCCAUGGGCAGGUUGAAGGUUGGGUAACACUAACUGGAGGACCGAACCGACUACCGUUGAAAAGUUAGCGGAUGACCUGUGGAUCGGAGUGAAAGGCUAAUCAAGCUCGGAGAUAGCUGGUUCUCCUCGAAAGCUAUUUAGGUAGCGCCUCAUGUAUCACUGUAGGGGGUAGAGCACUGUUUCGGCUAGGGGGUCAUCCCGACUUACCAAACCGAUGCAAACUCCGAAUACCUACAAGUGCCGAGCAUGGGAGACACACGGCGGGUGCUAACGUCCGUCGUGAAAAGGGAAACAACCCAGACCGUCAGCUAAGGUCCCAAAGUCAUGGUUAAGUGGGAAACGAUGUGGGAAGGCUUAGACAGCUAGGAGGUUGGCUUAGAAGCAGCCACCCUUUAAAGAAAGCGUAAUAGCUCACUAGUCGAGUCGGCCUGCGCGGAAGAUGUAACGGGGCUCAAACCAUGCACCGAAGCUACGGGUAUCAUCUUUUGAUGAUGCGGUAGAGGAGCGUUCUGUAAGCCUGUGAAGGUGAGUUGAGAAGCUUGCUGGAGGUAUCAGAAGUGCGAAUGCUGACAUGAGUAACGACAAUGGGUGUGAAAAACACCCACGCCGAAAGACCAAGGUUUCCUGCGCAACGUUAAUCGACGCAGGGUUAGUCGGUCCCUAAGGCGAGGCUGAAAAGCGUAGUCGAUGGAAAACAGGUUAAUAUUCCUGUACUUCUGGUUAUUGCGAUGGAGGGACGGAGAAGGCUAGGCCAGCCAGGCGUUGGUUGUCCAGGUUUAAGGUGGUAGGCUGAGAUCUUAGGUAAAUCCGGGAUCUUAAGGCCGAGAGCUGAUGACGAGUGUUCUUUAGAACACGAAGUGGUUGAUGCCAUGCUUCCAAGAAAAGCUUCUAAGCUUCAGGUAACCAGGAACCGUACCCCAAACCGACACAGGUGGUUGGGUAGAGAAUACCAAGGCGCUUGAGAGAACUCGGGUGAAGGAACUAGGCAAAAUGGCACCGUAACUUCGGGAGAAGGUGCGCCGGUGAGGGUGAAGCAUUUACUGCGUAAGCCCACGCCGGUCGAAGAUACCAGGCCGCUGCGACUGUUUAUUAAAAACACAGCACUCUGCAAACACGAAAGUGGACGUAUAGGGUGUGACGCCUGCCCGGUGCCGGAAGGUUAAUUGAUGGGGUUAGCGCAAGCGAAGCUCUUGAUCGAAGCCCCGGUAAACGGCGGCCGUAACUAUAACGGUCCUAAGGUAGCGAAAUUCCUUGUCGGGUAAGUUCCGACCAGCCCCGGUAAACGGCGGCCGUAACUAUAACGGUCCUAAGGUAGCGAAAUUCCUUGUCGGGUAAGUUCCGACCUGCACGAAUGGCGUAACGAUGGCGGCGCUGUCUCCACCCGAGACUCAGUGAAAUUGAAAUCGCUGUGAAGAUGCAGUGUAUCCGCGGCUAGACGGAAAGACCCCGUGAACCUUUACUAUAGCUUUGCACUGGACUUUGAAUUUGCUUGUGUAGGAUAGGUGGGAGGCUUUGAAGCGUGGACGCCAGUCUGCGUGGAGCCAACCUUGAAAUACCACCCUGGCAACUUUGAGGUUCUAACUCAGGUCCGUUAUCCGGAUCGAGGACAGUGUAUGGUGGGUAGUUUGACUGGGGCGGUCUCCUCCUAAAGAGUAACGGAGGAGUACGAAGGUGCGCUCAGACCGGUCGGAAAUCGGUCGUAGAGUAUAAAGGCAAAAGCGCGCUUGACUGCGAGACAGACACGUCGAGCAGGUACGAAAGUAGGUCUUAGUGAUCCGGUGGUUCUGUAUGGAAGGGCCAUCGCUCAACGGAUAAAAGGUACUCCGGGGAUAACAGGCUGAUACCGCCCAAGAGUUCAUAUCGACGGCGGUGUUUGGCACCUCGAUGUCGGCUCAUCACAUCCUGGGGCUGAAGCCGGUCCCAAGGGUAUGGCUGUUCGCCAUUUAAAGUGGUACGCGAGCUGGGUUUAGAACGUCGUGAGACAGUUCGGUCCCUAUCUGCCGUGGACGUUUGAGAUUUGAGAGGGGCUGCUCCUAGUACGAGAGGACCGGAGUGGACGAACCUCUGGUGUUCCGGUUGUCACGCCAGUGGCAUUGCCGGGUAGCUAUGUUCGGAAAAGAUAACCGCUGAAAGCAUCUAAGCGGGAAACUUGCCUCAAGAUGAGAUCUCACUGGAACCUUGAGUUCCCUAAAGGGCCGUCGAAGACUACGACGUUGAUAGGUUGGGUGUGUAAGCGCUGUGAGGCGUUGAGCUAACCAAUACUAAUUGCCCGUGAGGCUUGACCAUAUAACACCCAAGCAAUU